RNAcentral lists this long non-coding RNA (348 nucleotides) under Phoenix dactylifera (date palm). RNAcentral describes it as "long non-coding RNA (PDAC_LNC010931)". The record is from RNAcentral. Lineage: Eukaryota; Viridiplantae; Streptophyta; Magnoliopsida; Arecales; Arecaceae.
AGGAAAUGGCUGGGAGUGGUUGUUUGGAAUGUUCAUCCGUUUGGGAACAGGGAUGCUGGGAUUUGAUAUGGGAAGAUAGGAUUUGCUUGGGAUAAGAAUUUAAGCUGGUUCGGAUGAGAAGUUGACAAUGACGUUGGGAAGAAGAGAUUUUUAGUAAGAGAUGAAGGAUUGAUCUGUUGGGGUGAAGGGAUUUGAAGCUUAUCUAGAAGCUGAAGAAGAUCUUGCGGACGAUGGAAAAUGGGAAUUCGGCUGAAAGGAGAUGAGCUUGGGACGGGUUCUACGGAAUGGGGAGAUGUGAUCCGGUGACGCUGAACAGGUGAGAGAUGUUAGGAUACACGCGGGCGGACG